Molecule: long non-coding RNA, 401 nt
Organism: Mugil cephalus (flathead mullet)
Lineage: Eukaryota; Metazoa; Chordata; Actinopteri; Mugiliformes; Mugilidae
Exons: 3
Source: RefSeq, a predicted model, not a curated record
UGUUGUGCUUUCAGAUAGAGGGGAUACAUUUGUGCAAAUCCUUUGUGAUUUCCAGUCAUUGGUCUGUGGUCAUUUGUGUGGAUCAUCUAGUCAACAGUUACUGAGGUUUCUUCUCUUUCAAAGCAAAGAUGCUGUGGACUCUGCUGUUCUUCUGUUUGAUUGGGACGUCUGCUCAGAACCAAGGAGCUAGCUGCACAACAGGAAAACUGAUAGAGGGAGGAAAAACAACUCAGUCUUCAACCUACAUCAAUCACUUCUCUGACAGAGCUGUUGAUGGGAUAUACAAUCAAUGUGCUCACACUGAAAACAAACCCAACUCCUGGUGGACAAUGGAUUUACUGGGCUUAUAUGAAAUUUCCUGUAUCAACAUCAACAACACUUCUCAUGGCAAUAUUGACCUA